Molecule: transfer RNA, 72 nt
Filed under: Octopus vulgaris (common octopus)
Lineage: Eukaryota; Metazoa; Mollusca; Cephalopoda; Octopoda; Octopodidae
Also listed under: 1 other name
Rfam family: tRNA
About the family: Transfer RNA (tRNA) molecules are approximately 80 nucleotides in length. Their secondary structure includes four short double-helical elements and three loops (D, anti-codon, and T loops). Further hydrogen bonds mediate the characteristic L-shaped molecular structure. tRNAs have two regions of fundamental functional importance: the anti-codon, which is responsible for specific mRNA codon recognition, and the 3' end, to which the tRNAs corresponding amino acid is attached (by aminoacyl-tRNA synthetases). tRNAs cope with the degeneracy of the genetic code in two manners: having more than one tRNA (with a specific anti-codon) for a particular amino acid; and 'wobble' base-pairing, i.e. permitting non-standard base-pairing at the 3rd anti-codon position.
Source: Rfam by way of RNAcentral
GGGCUUGUGGCGCAAUGAUAACGCGUCUGACUACGGAUUAGAAGAUUCCAGGUUCGAAUCCUGGCAAGCUCG